CGGUGGCCAAGUGGUUAGCGCACUUGCCUUUCACCUCUGAGGCUGCAGGUUCGAGUCUCACUAAGUACCUUCUCUGUGCGACUCGAACCCAGUCCCCAUGUGAAAAGAGUAAAAGUCAACGCUCUGCCGAAAGCCGUGGGUUUUCCCCGGGUACUCCGGUUUCCUCCCACAGGAAAAGUUGACAGGGUGGGUUAGAUAAAAAGGGCCCACAGUAAUUGGCAUAUGCUGUUGUGGUGACCCUGCCCUAGUUGGCAAAGCC
Molecule: non-coding RNA, 259 nt
Organism: Paramuricea clavata
Lineage: Eukaryota; Metazoa; Cnidaria; Anthozoa; Malacalcyonacea; Plexauridae
Source: the annotation of a GenBank genome assembly